RNAcentral lists this ribosomal RNA (651 nucleotides) under Triticum aestivum (bread wheat). RNAcentral describes it as "partial small subunit ribosomal RNA". The record is from RNAcentral. Lineage: Eukaryota; Viridiplantae; Streptophyta; Magnoliopsida; Poales; Poaceae.
AUGCAAAUCGGGUUGGGGAGGGGAAGGCAGAGGGUCAAAUGCACCGUGACGGGGCGUGAUGGCGCCAUGAACAAGGGGAGGAAGAGAAGCUCAGCGCGGGAAGGCCGUGGCCGGGCGGCGGCGGCACCGGCGGGGGAAGAAGCGGGAUGGGGGUGGGCCGGUGCCGGCGGCAGAAGAAGCAAGUUGGGAGUGGGGCGGCGCCGGCGGGGAAGAAGCGGGAUGGGGGGUGGGCCGGUGCCGGCGGCAGAAGAAGAAAGUUGGGAGUGGGGCGGCGCCGGCGGGGAAGAAGCAGGAUGGGGGUGGGGCGGCGGGGGAAGAAGCGGGUUGGGGUGGAACCGGCUCCUCUACCGUGCCGCUGGGCACGGCAGAGUGCCGUGCCUUCUUACGCAACAGGGUGCGCAUAUGGGCCUUCCUGAUGCAUCACGCGGCAGCAGAGAGGGCAAUCCAGAUGCAAGUCGUGCGGCAGGGUCAUAUCCGAGUACGGCAGAGGCUGCCUGCACUGCUAGUGUCACCGCGCCUGGUGCACCGGAAUGUGCAGCCGCUGCCUGGCGGGGCGGGCAGGCGUCGGCUGUGGAGGAGGAGGAAGCGCCGGGGGUGAGCUUCCCGUUGUUCUUGCCGGAGCUGCCGAACAAGCCCAUGGCUAGGGUUUGA